UGGGGAAUAUUGCGCAAUGGGCGAAAGCCUGACGCAGCGACGCCGCGUGGAGGAUGAAGGUUUUUGGAUUGUAAACUCCUGUUAAGUGGGAAGAAAAUCCUAUCUCUAAUAAAGAUGGGCAAUGACGGUACCACUAGAGAAAGCACCGGCUAACUUCGUGCCAGCAGCCGCGGUAAUACGAGGGGUGCGAGCGUUAUUCGGAUUUAUUGGGCGUAAAGGGUGCGUAGACGGUUUGUUAAGUCUGUUGUUAAAUCCUCCGACCUAAUCGGAGAUCGGCAGUGGAAACUGGCAAUCUAGAGUGUGAAAGAGAGAAGUGGAAUUCCCGGAGUAGCGGUAAAAUGCACAGAUCUCGGGAGGAACACCAAUGGCGAAGGCAGCUUCUUGGUUCACAACUGACGUUGAGGCACGAAAGCGUGGGGAGCAAACAGG
Molecule: ribosomal RNA, 429 nt
Filed under: uncultured bacterium
Lineage: Bacteria
Description: bacterial SSU rRNA
Rfam family: Bacterial small subunit ribosomal RNA
Source: RNAcentral